AGGCCUGGGGCAGUCCAGCCAUGUGGGGACCAGGGGCUGUGUCCACCAUGGCCUGGACUUCUCUCCUCCUCGUGCUCCUCUCUCACUGCACAGGUUCCCUCUCCCAGCCUGUGCUGACCCAGCCGCCCUCCCUCUCUGCAUCUCCUGGAGCAUCUGCCAGACUCACCUGCGCCCUGAGCAGUGGCUUCAGUGUUGGUGGUUAUGGAAUAAGCUGGUACCAGCAGAAGCCAGGGAGCACUCCCCGCUAUCUCCUGUACCACUACUCAAGUACAGCAUUGGGCACCGGGGUCCCCAGCCGCUUCUCUGGAUCCAAGGACACCUCGGCCAAUGCAGGAGUUCUGCACAUCUCUGGGCUGCAGCCUGAGGACGAGGCCGACUAUUACUGUCUAACCUAUCACAACAACAAUGGUACACAGUGCUAUAGACCCAUGAGGAAGUGAGACAAAAACCCUUCUAGUACUUCUUCCCAUAUGGGGCAGUUGCUGCUGCUUGUGAUUUGGACCAAAAAGACCCAGGGCUGUCUUCCCUGUGAGCACCCGAAUGUUUUGUGAAGAGUGGAUCUAGCAGUGGCUGGUCCUUUUCUUCAACUUUCUGCUGAUCCGUUGCUUGUAUCUUCUCAUUUCAUUCAUGUCUCUGCAGACAGUCCCCACUGCUCAGAUGUAAAGUCUCUCCAUAGAAACACGGCAGAAAGCUUAGAAAGGUGACCCCAGCCCUGCCCAGCUCACAGUCUGGGGGGAACUUGCAAACGCUUCCUCUGUGAGCGCUUCGGUCUAUGCCAUGGGCAGCCCUGAGUGCAGAAAUGAAUCCUGUUCUAGGUACUCGCAGCAAACCAGCUAAUAUGGCAUAGAACGUAGUAGUAUUCCAAAUAGAAUCAACAUUGGGACCCACAAAUGGUGUAGUGGUUACAUUGUUGGAUAUGGAGGACCACAGUUCGAAUCCUGGACCUGGUGGCUUAAAACUCAC
Molecule: non-coding RNA, 963 nt
Organism: Tupaia belangeri chinensis (Chinese tree shrew)
Lineage: Eukaryota; Metazoa; Chordata; Mammalia; Scandentia; Tupaiidae
Source: the annotation of a RefSeq genome assembly